Molecule: ribosomal RNA, 360 nt
Filed under: uncultured haloarchaeon
Lineage: Archaea; Methanobacteriati; Methanobacteriota; Halobacteria; Halobacteriales; Halobacteriaceae
Description: bacterial SSU rRNA
Rfam family: Archaeal small subunit ribosomal RNA
Source: RNAcentral
AUUCCGGUUGAUCCUGGCGGAGGACAUUGGUAUUGGGAUUCGAUUUAGCCAUGCUAGUCGAGCGAGUUCAGAUUCGCGGCGAAUAGCUCAGUAACACGUGGCCAAGCUCCCCCUUCAGUCAGCGAUACCCUCGGGAAACUGAGGUUAACAGCUGAUACAAAACGCCCAGCUGGAAUGCGGCGUUUCAGAAAGACAUCGCUCAAGGAUGCGGCUGCGGCCGAUUAGGUAGACGGUGGGGUAACGGCCCACCGUGCCAGUAAUCGGUACGGGUGAUGAGAGUCAGAGCCCGGAGACGCAAUCUGACACAAGAUUCCGGGCCCUAUGGGGGGCAGCAGGCGCGAAACCUUUACACUGCACGCA